RNAcentral lists this ribosomal RNA (506 nucleotides) under uncultured bacterium. RNAcentral describes it as "partial 16S ribosomal RNA". It matches the Rfam family "Bacterial small subunit ribosomal RNA", at positions 30 to 523 of the family's 1533-position model. The record is from RNAcentral.
AUUGAACGCUGGCGGCAGGCUUAACACAUGCAAGUCGAGCGGUAACAGAGAGAAGCUUGCUUCUCUGCUGACAAGCGGCGGACGGGUGAGUAAUGCCUAGGAAUCUGCCUAGUAGUGGGGGAUAACUUGCCGAAGGGUAAGCUAAUACCGCAUACGUCCUACGGGAGAAAGGAGGGGACCUUCGGGCCUUUCGCUAUUAGAUGAGCCUAGGUCGGAUUAGUUAGUUGGUGAGGUAAUGGCUCACCAAGACCGCGAUCCGUAACUGGUCUGAGAGGAUGAUCAGUCACACUGGAACUGAGACACGGUCCAGACUCCUACGGGAGGCAGCAGUGGGGAAUAUUGGACAAUGGGGGGAACCCUGAUUCAGCCAUGCCGCGUGUGUGAAGAAGGUCUUAGGAUUGUAAAGCACUUUAAGUUGGGAGGAAGAGCAGUUAACUAAUAUUUGACUGUUUUGACGUUACCGACAGAAUAAGCACCGGCUAACUUCGUGCCAGCCGCCGCGGUAA